This 489-nucleotide ribosomal RNA is filed under the name uncultured bacterium. RNAcentral's name for it is "partial 16S ribosomal RNA". It matches the Rfam family "Bacterial small subunit ribosomal RNA", at positions 30 to 506 of the family's 1533-position model. The record is from RNAcentral.
AUUGAACGCUGGCGGCAGGCCUAACACAUGCAAGUCGAACGGUAACAGGAAGCAGCUUGCUGCUUCGCUGACGAGUGGCGGACGGGUGAGUAAUGUCUGGGAAACUGCCUGAUGGAGGGGGAUAACUACUGGAAACGGUAGCUAAUACCGCAUAACGUCGCAAGACCAAAGAGGGGGACCUUAGGGCCUCUUGCCAUCGGAUGUGCCCAGAUGGGAUUAGCUAGUAGGUGGGGUAACGGCUCACCUAGUCGACGAUCCCUAGCUGGUCUGAGAGGAUGACCAGCAACCCGGGACCUGAGAAACGGUCCAGCUUCCUCCGGGAGGCAGCAGUGGGGAAUAUUGCCCAAGGGGCGCAAGCCUGAUGAAGCCAUGCCGCGUGUAUGAAGAAGGCCUUCGGGUUGUAAAGUACUUUCAGCGGGGAGGAAGGGAGUAAAGUUAAUACCUGUGCUCAUUGACGUUACCCGCAGAAGAAGCACCGGCUAACUCCGU